AUGCACAUGAGCGAGGUGGGACUAUUUUUGAGUUCUAAUCCUCACAGAGAAGUGCGGGAGCCAUGGAGGGGCGCGCUGGAGGGAGCAGCUUGGGUUCUCGCCGCCAUGCUCGCCAUGCCGUGCCAUCUCUCGUUUCUCUCCUUCUUCUUGGUUUUCCCCUCUCUCUCUCCCCCUCAUGCUUCCUCGUUUUCUUUGAGGAGCACGGCGGCGCAACCAUGGCGCCACCCAGGAGAACCCCAACGCCUUGCAAGGUCCAUCUGCCGCUCGCCUGGAUCCGGACGCCGUCGUCGUUCCACGCAUCCAACUCGUCUGCCACCACCCUGUGCAGACCUCACUCAAUCGGAUCAAGCGAGAGAGCCGCCUGCCGUCGUCCCACACGCUCGUUGA
This 387-nucleotide ribosomal RNA is filed under the name Triticum aestivum (bread wheat). RNAcentral describes it as "partial small subunit ribosomal RNA". Lineage: Eukaryota; Viridiplantae; Streptophyta; Magnoliopsida; Poales; Poaceae. The record is from RNAcentral.